UACGCAGGACCCAUCCUAUACAAGCAGUGCGUCUAUAAAACGCGGUAAGAUCUCUCACCAGCCCCUCCGAACGGAGAAGAAAAACAUCAACAAUAAAGUUGGAAAAGAAGAAGAAGAAGAAUAAAAAAUGGCGAGUGGCGGUGCUGCAGCUGCUGGUGGUGGAAAAGUGUCGUUCAAAGUUACGCUCACCUCCGAUCCAAAACUCCCUUUCAAAGUAUUUAGCGUACCGGAAGCAGCCCCGUUCACGGCCGUUUUGAAAUUCGCUGCCGAGGAAUUCAAAGUUCCUCCCCAAACCAGCGCUAUCAUCACCAACGAUGGAGUGGGAAUCAAUCCUCAACAAAGUGCAGCAUCCCAUAAUAUCAAGGAAAUGUCUGCCAGUAACCCCUAGGAUUAUGAGCAAGGCACAAAUCAUUUAUUGUUCAUGCCUUGGUCUGUCUUCAACAGCGAGUUACUUCUCAAUUUGUUUAGAAAAAAACUAAAUCGUAACACUUCAACCCUAGGCCUUGCUCAUAUGGUAGCUCCAUAUGUUAGGAGGCAAUGUCUUCCUUAAACAUGGUACUGAACUGCGCUUGAUCCCCCGUGAUAGAGUUGGAGCUUUUGAAUGUUGAAAACAGGAUCAUCAUCAGACAUAAAAAGUGGUUUAUCUUUUUGAUGAAUCUGUGUCUUGUUUUCUUCUGUGCCAAUUCUAUAAGUUGGGUUGAUAGUUGCUUCCUGCGCAUUAUAUUACUGAUAUGAUGAUCAAUAUGAAUUGAGAUGAAAGGUAGCUGCAACACAUGGUCUUUGAGUUAAUUAUAAUGGAAAGGUCGCAUUGCCCUUUUUCUUA
RNA transcript from Populus nigra (black poplar), 823 nucleotides. It is a transcript of the gene named ubiquitin-fold modifier 1, with no coding region annotated. The record is from RefSeq and is a predicted model, not a curated record. The transcript has 6 exons. NCBI's taxonomy places the organism in Eukaryota, Viridiplantae, Streptophyta, Magnoliopsida, Malpighiales, Salicaceae.